This is an RNA transcript of Equus quagga, 4037 nucleotides long. It is a transcript of the gene named protein kinase cAMP-dependent type I regulatory subunit beta, with no coding region annotated. The transcript has 3 exons. The record is from RefSeq and is a predicted model, not a curated record. NCBI's taxonomy places the organism in Eukaryota, Metazoa, Chordata, Mammalia, Perissodactyla, Equidae.
CCUGAUCAGACUCACCUGAGUCUCACCAGAAACUUCUAUCGCAGUGGGGAAACUGAGGCUGCGAGAAGCAAGGGACCGUGUCCACGGCUGCCCAGCGAGCCAGGGCUGGAGUCCCGGCCCCACGGUGCCCACCCCCGGCCGGCGUGAUGGCUCCGGGCCCUCGGGACAUUCUCCAUCUGCCUUGUUGGCCUUUAGCGCUCCCGUGAGCUGAAACAGCGCUUCUGGCGAGAUCAGUCAGUCAAUCAACUACCCAGCUGGGGGAGGUUCCCUUUGCCUCUGGCUCAGCUUCUCCUGCAGGGACCUUGCUCUUGACCUGACUCGCCUGGGGACGGAAGGGGGGAACGCCGAGAAGCCGGACGCCCUGCAUGACCUCGGGCCUGGGAGCCCAGGGAGGCGUCCGCACGGUGGACACGGCACCUGGGUUCCAGGACAGCGUGUCCCUGGGGUUGUCUGCUCGGGGACCCCAGGGCCCUUGCCCGAGUGCCGUCAGGGGACUCUGGCCUCUGCCAGGCUCGGUACCUGCGCCUCAGGGAGUUAAUGGGGCCCUGCGGGCGGAGGCAGGGAACAGCCUUGAGGCGGAGGGAACAGCAUGUGCGAGGCCUGGGGGCCUGUCAUCGUGGCCGGAGCUGGUGGCCGAGUGGGGAGGAAGCACCAGGACAGAGGUCCCGAAGGCGGGGGACCCGGGCUGGGUUGUCUGGGACGCAGCGUCCUCCUGGAAGGGGUCCGAAUGGAGGUCCGGAGCCCCAGGAGGGCCGGGAGGGGGCAUGCGGGACAGGUGGGCGCCGUCCUGGGCCCCUCGCUGCCCCCCAUUUCCCUGUGGGGGGCUGGGAACCACGGACCUGCGGGGACGGCCGCUUAGGGGGAGGGCCGAGUUCUCUUUGGGGGUGUGCAUUCGAGGUGCUGGAGGACCCCAGGGGCACGCGGGGCGGAGGGGGGAGGCGGGGUCGGGGGUGAGAGGUGAGAGGGGGUCGGGGGCCAUCUGGGAGGGGAGCCUGGGAGCCUCAGGCAGCACCAUUGUCGGAUCCCGGAGGGGGAGCCGCCGGGCCGGUCGGGGCUUGUUCUUGCUUUCCGCGCCGUUGAAAUGUAACGGACAGGUGUGCACACGCACACGCAGGCACACACACGCCCGUGCAGACGCUCACGCACACCCCCAGCACCCACCCCCGCCCGCCCCGAGGCUGGAGCAGCUGGUGGGAAGCGCCCAGCCCGGCUGUGCGUCUCGGGGUUGUGUGAAGCCUGUGAGUAAACAGCCGGCGGCCUGGGCCCCGGGGGGCUCUGCUCGCCUCCCUCUUCCUGGCGUCUGCGCGGCGGCCUCGACAGGGCACUCAGGCUCCUUCAGCCCCAACGGGGAAAGCAAACGGGGGACGGGGACCCAGCAGCCUGACUCGCGGGUGCGGCUGCCAGAGGGCCGAGGGGCACGUCCGGUGCCCCAGACACUCGUGUCCCUCCCGGUCCGGGGUCUCGGGGAUGGCGGGGUGCCGGGCGUGGGGGACGGGGCCGCGGCGUCUCGCACGCUGGCUGCACGUGGAAGGAAGGCCACACCUGUCGGUGGAAGAACGAGACGCCGUCGAGAAGGGACCUGGGAUGAGGUCGUGGCGCCGGGACCCGGCCGUCACGGGGUACGAUAGUGGCUGGGGGGGAGUGGGGCUAAAAACGCUGCUGGUGCCCGUUUGGGAAGACCCUCCGACGCCGCGGGACGCAGCUGGGACGUGACCGGUGGGCGAUGGAGAGCCUGUUAGGACUUUUUCCGGGAGCCACCUGUGACCCCCACCCACCCUGAGAGGCAGAAGGAGCCCUGGGGGCUGGGGCCUGAGGGCUGGUCCAGAGAGGGCUUGCUCUCCCCACCCGGCACACAGCAGAGCAUUUACGGCCGCGAUGUACGCGCCCUGGUUCCCCAAAUCUGCAGGGGCUCUCGCCGUUGGGGGUGGGGGCAGCGAGGAACCGGGCCGCGGAAGGGCGUUGGGAGCAGAGCUGGAGGUCCAGAGCCGCGGCCUGUGACCGACUGCACGAGCGUCUCUGGUUCCGCACAGAGAUGCAAGCCGGUGCAGCCGCGUGUUCCCUGCCCCGACAUGAGGGCCGUCCCUGUGCCCAGGAGAAGCGUCCGUCUCUGGGCACUUUCCUGUCCCCUGACGGCCACGGCCUGGCUUCAGGGAGACCCGAGACCAUGGCUGUCGCUGCCUCAGGACACUUGCAGCCAGAGUGUGCGAAUUAUCUCCCACGCGGAGGGAACGGGUUUUGCCCCGACAGUCGUUUCUUUAACGAUCCCUCGGCAGACGGUUGGUGGUGUCGCCGCCCUGGGAGCUGGCGGGUGUGGUCUCGCCUGGGCCGGGUGGACAGCCGGCCCGCACACUCCUGUCCUCCCGCUUGUUGAGCGCCCACUGGGGGGCCCGAUGUGUGUUGGUCCUCCUGGCGUCCGGCUCGGGAGGUGCCGUUUGCACUCUGGCCCGGACGUCCUGAGGGGGGAGCGUCGUCCUUCAUCUUGUCCAGCGUGUGGCCCACACGGGGUCGUCCGUGGGCCCAGGAGAAACGCUGCCGCUCGCAGCCUCGGUUCCCCGUUGACCCCAGAGGUGGCAGAGCCUGGGACGGGCGACCUGGCUUCGGGGGGCAACGGCGGGUGAGGCCGGACGGUGACGCGUCCCCUGGACGGUCAGCACAGCCGUCCCUGCUCCUCCUGCCGACAGAACCCCGAUCCUCAGCCCCGGCCCCCCAACACUGGCCGCCGUCCCUCCCCAGCAAUGGUUCAGGGCGGGCGCGUGACCCGCUGCGGUCAGCGAGGUGUGAGGGACGGUGGCCUGGAGCUUCCACAAGGUUUCCUGCCGAUGACGAGAGACUCGUAGGAGGGCAAAGUGGAUUCUCUUUUCCCGCCGAUGGUGUGAGGGAGGCGUGGUGACUCCCGGAACCGUGGCAGCCACUGUGCCACCACGAGGGACCCAAGUGAGGACUGGGAACCCCACUGAGGUCGUCAGAGCAGCGAGCGACAACAAGCCCGGGUCCCUGACGUGUCUCUGAGCUGCUGCGUUGACCCGCCUUCUGGUUCCGUGGGGUCACAGGUCGCCCCUAGUGUCCCUCAGCCGUCUCGGUCGGGUUUCCUGUUCUUUAGCCUGGAGUCUCCGGGUGACCCUGUGAACCAGGGCCCUUCGGUGCCACCCCUGGGGGUUCUGAAGAGGAAAACGAUCCCAUUGUAACAUGGGAAGUCGUCUAAAACGGGAAUGAAAUGCACGUAAAUUACACGCAUCGUGGAUGAAAGGCAUAAACGUGGAGAGACCCAGGUCAACGCCGUGGGGCAUCGCGAGCGGUUCUCUCUGCCGGGAUGUCUGCUCCCACCCCAGCCGCCUGGUCUCUCGGUGGCUGCGGCCCCAGGGCGGUCCCGCUGUGGGGCGGCUUUCGAGCCCACCUUCCCCUCGGCCGGCCCCCGUGGGCCGUGGAGCCCAGGACGCGGCCUGAGCCGCCACCAGCCCCAGGUGAGGGGAUGGCCAGGGCUGUGCUGGCAGGUGGGGCCCAGGGCUCUGUGCCCUCUCUGGGCUCCGGGAGGCACAUGUGACCCCCAGGCCCCCACCCCACGGCCUGAGUCUGGGGGCGCCCGGCCCUUGUCUGCCCAGGGGGAGGCGGCCGGCUGUUUGGACAGCCUGCUCCGGCCGCCAGAUGCCUCAUAAACACCCCGGACGCCGGGAGCCGGGAAGGUGGGGGGCAGGCGGGGGGGGGGCUGCCCAUCGGUGCCCUGAGGUUCCAGCACAGCGGGCACCGGCGGGGUCUCCUGACCCGCGUCCCCCAGACCGUGGCGGGCGGCAGUUACACAUUAACGGGCCGGCGCGCGAGGCUGGUCUGGGGGAGCCGUGGGGCAGCGGCCGCUCCACCGUGGCACCAGGUCAUCCCUGCCCCACCGCCGGCCGAGCCUCUCUGGGGCACGGCCUCUGUCCUGCAGCGCCGGUCCCCCAACGAGGAGUACAUGGAGGUGGGGCGCCUCGGGCCCUCCGACUACUUCGGGGAGAUCGCGCUGCUGCUGAACCGGCCCCGGGCGGCCACCGUGGUGGCCCGCG